Molecule: long non-coding RNA, 1250 nt
Organism: Ictalurus punctatus (channel catfish)
Lineage: Eukaryota; Metazoa; Chordata; Actinopteri; Siluriformes; Ictaluridae
Source: Ensembl
CACAAAAAAGGCUAACAGUCCCAAAUAACAGAUAAAGAGACAAUCCAAGAACAGGUAAAAAGGUCAGAACCACAAGAUCUAAACUACAAACAGGGGUUGGAGUUCUCAGGAGCAUCUAUGGAAAAAUAAGCAGUGCUAAAAUAACAUAACAUUACAAAGAAUAUCUUUCGUGUUCAAUCACAUAAAAAUAUCUUAGCCAAAUGGUUGAUUUUUGGGAAAUGUUUAAAGUAUUGAUUAAAGAACACCAUAAAGAGAAUAGAGACACCAGUAAAUAUCUUACUCUUGAUAUAAAUCCUGUGAUUAACAUAUAACCUGUGGACAUGUUUUAGCUUAAUAUUAUCUUGCCUCCGGUGUUGUGUAAGGAGAGUGUGUGGAGAGUGUUACUGGGAGGUGGAGUGAAUGGUGUUGUGUACAUGUCAGUUUCGUAUAAAGCAAUCGGCAGGAAUGGAUGAGGUUACAAGAGUAUGUUUGGAUGCAAGAGUCCGGGAGUUUAAUUUGUUCUCCUUCCUGUGUCCCAUUUCAGCACACCGUCUUUAAGACUGAGCUCCAAGGUCCAGCGUCUUCCAGAAUAGGAUUGUAUGUGGAUCACAGUACAGGAACUCUGUCCUUCAUCCUGUCAACAUCUCUGAGGCUCCUCCACAGAAUCAACACAUUCACUCAGGCUCUAUACGCUGGGUUUAUAUUGUGCAAUUCUGGAUCAACUGUGAGGUUAUGCAAUCCAAAAUGAAACAUUAGUGAGAUGUAUUAAAACAGGCAUUUUAGAUUCAGGUUCUGAGACAUUUUUGGUGUCUCAAUAAAUUAUAGACCGUCAUAAACGUUAUAAUUGCAUCUAUUCUAUAGGUUUAGGUAUUAUCAGUAAUCUUCCAAAUUGUGUAGGAUGCUUUUCGGAAAAAUAAGAGUUAAUAUAUAUGAGCUACAAAACAUUUGUAUCACAAAAAAAUAAAAUAAAAUCUGUAUCAGAUACAGAUAUAAAGUUCUACACAUCAGCCUCUGUAGUGCCAUGAGUGUUUGAGAUGUAUCGCACAACAACAUGACCGAUAUAUCAAACACCAGGCCAGCAUAAGAUCAGACAGUUUCUCCAUCUUGCACAGAAGCUCCCCAGGUGAUCCCAUUCACCAUUCAGCAUCUCAUCUACAAAGACUGUACAAUGGUGUACAGCUUGUAUGUGCAUUAGAUUGUUGUCCCAGAUCUUUGAAAGGUUCAGCAGGGCACAGUUGGAUCUCUUUAAUGAUGCCAAAUCAACAUAUUGC